This 322-nucleotide ribosomal RNA is filed under the name uncultured eukaryote. Its description in RNAcentral is "partial 18S ribosomal RNA". It matches the Rfam family "Eukaryotic small subunit ribosomal RNA", at positions 1470 to 1796 of the family's 1831-position model. The record is from RNAcentral.
CCCUUAGAUGUUCUGGGCCGCACGCGCGCUACACUGAGUGGAUCAGCGGGUCAGGUUGCGCGAAAGUGUUUCCUAAUCUUGAAAUCCGCUCGUGAUGGGGAUUGACGGUUGCAAUUUUCCGUCAUGAACGAGGAAUACCUUGUAAGCGCGGGUCAUCAUCCCGCGCUGAAUACGUCCCUGCCCUUUGUACACACCGCCCGUCGCUCCUACCGAUUGAGUGGUCCGGUGAGGCUUUGGGAUCUGAGCAAAGAGAGCGUUUCGCUCGUUUUGCUCGGAAAACUCAGUCGAACCUUAUCAUUUAGAGGAAGGAGAAGUCGUAACA